This 869-nucleotide ribosomal RNA is filed under the name Rhodotorula mucilaginosa. RNAcentral describes it as "LSU rRNA". It matches the Rfam family "Eukaryotic large subunit ribosomal RNA", at positions 74 to 964 of the family's 3401-position model. Lineage: Eukaryota; Fungi; Basidiomycota; Microbotryomycetes; Sporidiobolales; Sporidiobolaceae. The record is from RNAcentral.
AUUCCCCUAGUAGCGGCGAGCGAAGCGGGAAGAGCUCAAAUUUAUAAUCUGGCACCUUCGGUGUCCGAGUUGUAAUCUCUAGAAAUGUUUUCCGCGUUGGACCGCACACAAGUCUGUUGGAAUACAGCGGCAUAGUGGUGAGACCCCCGUAUAUGGUGCGGACGCCCAGCGCUUUGUGAUACAUUUUCGAAGAGUCGAGUUGUUUGGGAAUGCAGCUCAAAUUGGGUGGUAAAUUCCAUCUAAAGCUAAAUAUUGGCGAGAGACCGAUAGCGAACAAGUACCGUGAGGGAAAGAUGAAAAGCACUUUGGAAAGAGAGUUAACAGUACGUGAAAUUGUUGGAAGGGAAACGCUUGAAGUCAGACUUGCUUGCCGAGCAAUCGGUUUGCAGGCCAGCAUCAGUUUUCCGGGAUGGAUAAUGGUAGAGAGAAGGUAGCAGUUUCGGCUGUGUUAUAGCUCUCUGCUGGAUACAUCUUGGGGGACUGAGGAACGCAGUGUGCCUUUGGCGGGGGUUUCGACCUCUUCACACUUAGGAUGCUGGUGGAAUGGCUUUAAACGACCCGUCUUGAAACACGGACCAAGGAGUCUAACAUGCUUGCGAGUAUUUGGGUGUCAAACCCGGAUGCGUAAUGAAAGUGAAUGGAGGUGGGAACCGCAAGGUGCACCAUCGACCGAUCUGGAUUUUUAAUGAUGGAUUUGAGUAAGAGCACGUAUGUUGGGACCCGAAAGAUGGUGAACUAUGCCUGAAUAGGGCGAAGCCAGAGGAAACUCUGGUGGAGGCUCGUAGCGGUUCUGACGUGCAAAUCGAUCGUCAAAUUUGGGUAUAGGGGCGAAAGACUAAUCGAACCAUCUAGUAGCUGGUUCCUGCCGA